GAUUAACGCUGGCGGCGUGCAUAACACAUUCAAGUCGAACGGAAUACGGACUUCGGUCUGUGUUUAGUGGCGGACGGGUGAGUAACGCGUGAGUAAUCUGCCUCUGUGUGCGGGAUACCGUCUGGAAACGGACGUUAAUACCGCAUAACACAAGAGGACCGCAUGAUCCUCUUGUCAAAGAUUUAUUGCGCAAGGAUGGGCUCGCGUUGGAUUAGAUAGUUGGUGAGGUAACGGCCCACCAAGUCUGCGAUCCAUAGCCGGACUGAGAGGUUGAACGGCCACAUUGGGACUGAGACACGGCCCAGACUCCUACGGGAGGCAGCAGUGGGGAAUAUUGGGCAAUGGGCGAAAGCCUGACCCAGCGACGCCGCGUGAGGGAAGAAGAUCUUCGGAUUGUAAACCUUAGUCAACAGGGAAGAAGAAAGUGACGGUACCUGUGGAGGAAGCCACGGCUAAACUACGUG
Molecule: ribosomal RNA, 464 nt
Filed under: uncultured bacterium
Lineage: Bacteria
Description: bacterial SSU rRNA
Rfam family: Bacterial small subunit ribosomal RNA
Source: RNAcentral